This 253-nucleotide ribosomal RNA is filed under the name uncultured prokaryote. Its description in RNAcentral is "partial 16S ribosomal RNA". It matches the Rfam family "Bacterial small subunit ribosomal RNA", at positions 524 to 776 of the family's 1533-position model. The record is from RNAcentral.
GACGAACCAUGCAAACGUUAUUCGGAAUCACUGGGCUUAAAGAGUUCGUAGGCGGCAUGGAAAGUAGGGUGUGAAAGCCCUCGGCUCAACCGAGGAAUUGCGCUCUAAACUACCGUGCUCGAGGGACCUAGAGGUGAGCAGAACAGAUGGUGGAGCGGUGAAAUGCGUUGAUAUCAUCUGGAAUACCGGAGGCGAAGGCGGCUCACUGGGGGUCUUCUGACGCUGAGGAACGAAAGCCAGGGGAGCGAACGGG